CGCACGGCGGGAGGAGCCGACGGUGCCCACGAGGGGGCUGCACUCCCGCCGCUGCUCUGCCGCGUUAGGAGGCAGCGGCCACAGCGCAGGGCUGCCCGGGACCGUCGGGCUCCGCCACCUCUGGAUGUGCGUUUCUGUCCGUUCUUCUUUCUUCCCGCCUCCUAAUGAACGUAGAGCCCCCGGCGUCCGGGGAGCGGUACGAACAGAAGCUGCGGCCGGCGCCCCGGCGUCUGUGGAGGUGCCCUCCUUCUUGUCCCUGAGGAAUGCCUGGCGUGUGCACCGUGACGGGUCUCACCGGCCUGUGUCCCGCGGCCGUUCUGGAAGCGAGGCGGGCGGCCGUGGGGGCGCGGGGCGGGGGCGGCCGUGGAGGCGCCGUGCGGCCCCGUCCCGCCAGCAGCGCCCCGCCUGUCCCGAUGUCUCGCGCUGCAGCCACGCCAGCAGGCGGGUGCGUGCGGAGUGCCAGACACUGAGAGAGGUUGGGUGAGGUGGCAGGGGUCUCCGGUCACCACACCUCAGAACCCGCCCCUCCCCCCGUCACCAAUGAGGAGACCGACUGCCAGAGGCAGGCUCAGAGAAGGGGGGACCCAGGCCGGGAGCCCCGGGGGUGGUGCCCUGGGGCUUCACGCUUCGGGCACCUGCACCCCGGCCCAGAGAGACACACGCAGAGGACGCAUCCAGCGGGACCUAAAGUCACAUGGGGUCUCCCCUGAGCUGGAGGGCAGGAGCCCGACUGGAGCUGACCCAGGCCCCUUGGCUCUUUGUGGAGGGAAAGAAGGAAGAAAUGCAGACGGAGCUGAUCGCUGGAGGAGGGAAGACUCGGGGAAGCGUCCUAGCGGCCUUGGGCUUUGCAAGUAUCCCCAGAGGAAAGUGCAUGUGCAGCAGGCAAGCUGAGUCGGACAGGACCCAGUGGGCCAGGCCCUCCCAGCAGCCAGCAGAGGCCAGCGAGAAGCAGGACCGGCUGCCCGGGACACGCCGAUGCUCCUCACUUUUGUUUGAAAAGAGGAAGGGCCCACAUCCCGGGUGCCAGCAUUGAGGGGCCCCGGCCGGCUUGUUCCCCAUGGAGCCGCACACCCUGCACACCCCCGCAGUUCCUCAUGGUGCCGCACACCCCUACAGGAGAGAAGGGAACCCAGCGCUGUUGUCCGCAGCAAGUGCUGGGGGUGCAAGCCCAGGUCCCCCCAGCGAGACAGAGGGACGUUCCAGAAGACGCAAGGACAUUCCCCACAUUGGGAUUAUAGGCAAGGCAAUUAUUAAAUCCAGUCCUGCUCAUGUCACGGGGCCUCCUCAAAAGCCUAAGUAGGCACUUUCUUCAAAGAGACAGAAAAUUCACUUUUAGAGUAUCAGCGAUAGUGGCCCCUUUAAAUCUAUAAGCAUGUUACCGCUAAGGAGCAUCCCCAACAGCAGAGACGGGGGUUGUGGGGAGAGGGGGUGGGGGGCCACGUCACAGACAAGGAAACCGGCUUAAAAUUCAAGUCAGGGUGUUUGAGUUCACACAGCUGACUUCCCCUCAAGGCGCGGGAAGUGCACACAGCAUGUCUGUAUAGGGCCCCCAGGCCAGGCCCGAGCGGCCAGCAGCCCCAAGCACACGGACCCUCCACUUCUUUCACGGGGCGGGGGGGCUGCGCUUAAAUUAUAGAAAUGGAACAAUACGGUGUAUGUUAUUUCUGCCUAGUUUCUUCCACUGCACACAGCUUCUCUGAGCUUCGCACAUGCCGUACGUACCAGCAGUGCGUUUUCUUUGCUGUCCCACCGUCUGCUCCCGCCACAUACCUUGUCCUACCGCGUACUUGGGGAGCUCCCACUUUCACCAAGAUGGGAUUAAAUUUGGUGCUUUCACUUCAGAUCUUGGGCUCAAUUACCACGUGUUUACCCACAGAGGAACCCAUGGCUGUCUGCUCACGCUGACCCCAAAGUGGCACAGGUGGAAAAGACCGGUUGAGGUUAACAGUCUGGCCGCAGAGCCAAGGAUGGAGCUGGUGUGGCAGCCGCAGGGCCUCUGUGUCCCCCUCUAGCGUUCAGAUCCCUGAGGGGACCAGGCCUGUCUGUCCCGUUCACCCUCACAUCUCCAGCGUAGCAGGCGCUGAAUAAAACUUUGUCAAACACA
This is a long non-coding RNA of Hyaena hyaena (striped hyena), 2104 nucleotides long. RefSeq lists it as uncharacterized. NCBI's taxonomy places the organism in Eukaryota, Metazoa, Chordata, Mammalia, Carnivora, Hyaenidae. The record is from RefSeq and is a predicted model, not a curated record. The transcript has 3 exons.